RNAcentral lists this ribosomal RNA (448 nucleotides) under uncultured bacterium. RNAcentral describes it as "bacterial SSU rRNA". It matches the Rfam family "Bacterial small subunit ribosomal RNA", at positions 330 to 795 of the family's 1533-position model. The record is from RNAcentral.
ACCAGACUCCUACGGGAGGCAGCAGUGGGGAAUAUUGCACAAUGGGGGAAACCCUGAUGCAGCGACGCCGCGUGAAGGAUGAAGUAUUUCGGUAUGUAAACUUCUAUCAGCAGGGAAGAAAAUGACGGUACCUGACUAAGAAGCCCCGGCUAACUACGUGCCAGCAGCCGCGGUAAUACGUAGGGGGCAAGCGUUAUCCGGAUUUACUGGGUGUAAAGGGAGCGCAGGCGGCACGGCAAGCCUGAUGUGAAAGCCCGCGGCCCAACCGCGGGACUGCAUUGGGAACUACCGGGCUGGAGUGCAGGAGAGGUAGGCGGAAUUCCUAGUGUAGCGGUGAAAUGCGUAGAUAUUAGGAGGAACACCAGUGGCGAAGGCGGCCUGCUGGGCUUUUACUGACGCUGAGGCUCGAAAGUGUGGGGAGCAAACAGGAUUAGAUACCCCAGUAUCA